GCCUCUCCCCCAGUAGUCGGCCGCACCCCGGCCACCUCGCAGGCUCACGCCGGUGUGCCCCCCCGCCGCCAAUCACCUUCUGCGCCGCCUCCCCCCUCGCGCGAGCGCCGCCUCCACCCCCACCCCCUCCUCCCCCGCGUGCGCCGCCGCCUCCAACCUCCCGCGCGCACCCUCACGCAGGCCUGGCUCGUGCUCGUGCUCUCUGCAGCCUGGCGCACGCGACCGGAGCGCGGGGGUGGCCGCGCGGCACCACCACGCGGACCGGAGCAUGGGGGCGAACGCGCGCCACCGCCACGACAAGCCGCGACCUCAACCUCGCUCGCCGACGCGACCCCCGCCUCCCCUCGGUGGCUCCCGGUUCGAACUCCUGGACGGAGUUGGUGACGACCGCCUCGGCGAGGUCGGUGGCCAGUUUUCGGUAGCCUCGGCGCCCUCGUUGGUGCGCUCGCCGCUAGACCAGUAAAUUUUUGCUGUUCACUCAUCUGAUCAGGCCAUGCGAUUGCUGUCCUGUCCUGUUCAAUUGCUGUCAUGUUAUUAUGGUGCUACUAUAUGGGUUCCAGAAAACAAGUAAAUAUCUAUGAAGUGCAGUGAUGCAAAUGCGAAUGUCUAAGAAAAGGGGACCUGUUAUGCUGAAUGCAACAUUACAUUGCUUGAUAUGAUGGGGUUUCUCAUCCUGUUUUUGCUGACUGUAGUGCUAUAGCACUAUUGUGUAACACGGCUAUUUCUGCUUGUGAUUUGUACACCUAACAUGUGUUAAUGGUAUUGCUAGAAGCUUCUAUGGUGAUGGCUUAAUAUACUAGUCCAGUUGCUUUUAUAGCUGGGGGUUAUUAUAUUUGGUUUCGUGUACAUGUUAUCAGCAUUUCAGUUGAGGUUACACAUUUGGUUCAAAUAAUCUAGCGACUUCUAACUCACUGAUGUAGUGAUGUUACACAUGUUUCAGAGGUAGUAUAGGUUCCAAUAAUAAUUGCUUGAAAAGAUAAUAUGUUUGUUAGUAUUUCUUUUGUUUCCUGAUUGAGCAGUUGAUUAGAAGACAUAUUUUGAUUUUGCAGAGUCAUCAGUGCCCGGUAAAGUUGAGUUUGUCAGUACUGCGUUUCAAAUCUGAAAGUUUAUAUAGUUUAGGGUGUAGCCAGAAUAUCAGAUGGUCUAAGUACUAGGGACCUUGCUCAAAUUAGAUUAUGAGGUAAACUUGCGCUUUAAUGUCUGAGGUUAAAUUGUAUGCUUUAAUAUCUGAGGGCCACUUGUUAUGAGCUAUUUCAACUGACUUCAAUCGCCUAUUCAGCUUGUAGCUAGCAAUGGCCAACUAUGCUCUUAUUCUAUUAGAAUAGAACACAAAUGCGUAAGUGGAUUGUGGAUAUCAUACUCUUGGAAAGGUGCAAUAGUUCCCCCACAUUUUCAGGAUCAAGUGGUUAGGUAUGAUAGGAAGGUAGCAUGUUUGUUUCUUGAAUGAUUUUUUUUGACCGCGGUACGAUUUUUUGGGAUAUGUACACCUCUGUGCCUAUAUACAUAAUUCAUCUUAUAUCAUGGAACACCUGUUAUAAAUUGGUUAUAAAUCACGUUCUAUUUUUUGCAGCCAGCAAAAUUUAAAGCAUUUAUUGAUCGUGUAAACAAUACUCCACUACAUGACAUUGCCAUACCAGUAUCAGGCUUCUGUUGGGAGUUCAAUAAGGGAAAUUUUCACCAUUGGAGGCCUCUGUUUAUGCAUUUUGAUACGUAUUUCAAGACAUGCAUCUCUUCUAGUAAGGAUCUUCUCUUGUCUGAUGAUAUGACUGAGUGUGAACCGUUGAUGCAGAUUUUGAGAGUUAUGCAAAUUGUGUUGGAAGAUUGCCAGAACAAAACAUCUUUUGCUGGCCUUGAGCAUUUUAAGAAUCUGCUGGCAUCAUCAGAUCCUGAAGUACUUGUUGCGGCUUUGGAAACUCUUGCUUCAGUGGUAAAGAUAAAUCCUUCAAAAUUACAUAUCAAUGGAAAACUAUCAACAGUGGAGCUAUAAGCAGCUCUUCUACCAUUGUCCCAAGGAUGGGGUAGCAAGGAGGAAGGUCUAGGCUUUGUAUUCGCGUGUUGUGGGAAAUGACCGAAAUCAGCUGGAGGGUUUGUGUUUAUUCCCAGCAGACAUGGACAACAAAUAUGAUGGCACACAAAAUCGUCUUGAGUCCACUCUUCAUUUUGAGUAUAAUUUGGCACCCGUCCAAGAUUCUGACCAGACCAAUGACAUGAACAAGUCAUCUAAUCUUUGUGUGAUACAUAUCCCAGACCUGCACCUUCAGAAGGAGGAUGACUUGGGCAUAUUGAAGCAAUGUAUUGACAAGUUAAUGUGCCUCUAGAGCACUGGUUUGCUUUGUAUACAAGGAUAAGAUAUGCACAUGCUUUUAAUUCCCCGAGGACAUGCAGGCUAUAUGGUCGUAUAAGUCUUCUUUCUUCCAUUGUUCUUGUGCAAUCCAGUGAUGCCCAUGACGAACUAACUCGUUCUUGACAAAUGAGCCAGAGUACACAAAUGAGUUAAUCCGGCUUGUUCGCUCAGAAGAUAAUGUUCCUGGGUCCAUCCGUGCAUUGGCUAAGCUUGUACUGGGAGCACAGUUAGCAGCAUAUGCAACAUCUCAUGAGUGAGCUGGGAUACUUGAGUGAAUUAAGUAUCAUCUCUGCUGGUGGAAACUGCAUGGUCUUGCUCAGUGUUGUGCAGAAAGCAGCAUCUUCCCUCAGUAGCCCUAGUGAUACUUCAUCUCCUUCAGUUGUUGAUGCCUUUUUGCAGUUCUUUUUGCUUCAUGUGCUGUCAUCUUCGAGUUAUGGGACCACCAGGGGUUCAGGAAUGUCCCUCUCUCCUGCAAGAUAAGGAUCCUUCUCACAUGCAUCUUGUCAGUUUGGCAGUAAAGACCCUUCAGAAGCUGAUGGACUACAGCAGCCCUGCUGUUUCCCUGUUUAAAGAUUUGGGUGGUGUAGAGCUUUUGUCUCAGAGGUUACAUGUGGAGGUGCAGCGUGUUAUUGGCGUUGCUGACAGUCUUACUUCAGUGAUUGCUAGUGAUACAUUGAAAUUGGAAGAUGACCAUUUCUACUCACAGAAGCUGCCGAUUAAGGCUUUGCUCAAGGCAUUAGGUUCUGCUACAUAUUCUCCUGCAAAUCCUGCUUGCUUUCAAAGCUCCAAUGAUAAUUCCCUUGUAUUCCAGAAUGUUGGCAAGUUUGGUGGUGAUAUUUACAUCUCGUCAGUUACUGUUACGAGUGAGAUAAUACACAAGGAUCUACAUGCUUUCCUGCAUUGAAGGAACUUGAUCUUCAUGAUGCUUCCUGUCAUCAGUAACUGCUGGGUUAUGCCAUCUUGUAGCUCUUAUAUGUGUACCCAAAGAGCAAGGAAGACAGUGAGAGAGACGAGUUCUUGAGACAGAUGCUUGAAAUGAAUGCAAGGACAGUGUCGGGUCUGAAGCGCUGCCUUGGUGACAUGAUCGCAGUGGCCGACGUGGCUAUGGUGGAGCUCGAGCCCACAAAGCGCGUGCGGGAGGUAGUGGAGACGGAGCUGCAUGGGGGCGAGGUGCAGGCCUCCAUCCCAGCCGCGUCAAAUACAGGCACUCGAGGCGACAAUCUCACAUCUCCAGUAGGAGAUCAGUAAGGUGGGCACUGAUCUGGAGCUGCUUAAGGUCAGAAACUUUGGAAGUCGAAUCAAUUUAGGCUCCUGGUCUAUUACUUAAAUAUGACGUGGUUGUCUUUAUGAUUGGAAUUGGAACUGGCGGGCUGCGCUUUUGGUACUUGAUGUAAUGUCUCCAAAGAUCAAGGAAGACAGCGAGAGACAUGGUUAUCAUGGUAAAUUGCUGAACAGAGAUGAGAAUUUUAACUAGUGAUGGUGGGACAAGAACAUUUCGUAGAAUGAAUAGAUUAGUAGAAGUAUGAAUAAAGGAGUUGCCAAUGCAAGAAACUGGAACAGAGGAACCACUGGCAAUGGUAAUACAUGGAAGAUGAGAAGGCAUAUGACAACAUAUCAGGGGUGCCAGACAUAUGUGCCGAAGCACGUGAGUUGAAGAUCAGCCAGCUCCAAUGCCCUGUCUGGUGUAGUUCAUGGCAGCAAGAAAAGCCACCUGGUCCCAGCUUGGUGCAGUCGUACAUGUCGGAACAGACGGUGGAGUUGGUGCAGCUGGUGGCGGUGCAGGCUGGUAGAACACCGCAGAGUCAGUUGGUGGAAGGCUGGUGCCAGGGCAUGGGUGGUGCAGGGGCGCGGACGUGGUGUAUGCCUGUGGUGGCUGUUGUGGUCCCAGAAGACCAGGUGCUCCAGUAUGCCUGCACGACACCGGUCCACGGAUCAGCUGAUGGUGGUCGCCACGACAGAGUGGCUGGAGGUGUUGAACUGCUCUUGGUGCGCUGGAGGAUGGAGCCGAGGAAGCAAUUAUGUCUACAUUUUCAAAAUAGUACUAUAACAGAAUCACUUUUCUACCUGUUCUUGUUUAUGCCCAUUUGGCAUUCUCAACAGAAGGUUUCUGUAGACUUAGCUGAGAGGCGCUCCGGACCGCCAUCAGCAGAUGGUAUGCAAGACAAGUCAGUAGAAGGCAGUUUGAACAGACGACUUGUGUGAGCUCGGCCGAGAGGUGCUAUGGACAUCCUUCUUGAAAAUAAAAAAGGGUUUUCUCUCCAUUCCUUGUUAGGAAGUAUUGUACAUGUAUAUACGGUAUGAAUAUAAACCGUAUAUACGUCUGGUAGGAUUAUGUGUGUUGCGUGGGUCAUUGUAAUCAGGUAGUUGCGGUUGUUAGGAUUCAUCCUCAUCUCUGUAUAGCUUUCUUCAGGAUCAAUCCAACACCAACCGAACUACCAUAUCUUGUAAACCUGUCGAUCUAUAUAACAUGCAACGCGUCCCAGCCAGAGGCAUACGCUUCAACCAA
RNA transcript from Aegilops tauschii subsp. strangulata, 4850 nucleotides. It is a transcript of the gene named E3 ubiquitin-protein ligase UPL2, with no coding region annotated. Lineage: Eukaryota; Viridiplantae; Streptophyta; Magnoliopsida; Poales; Poaceae. The record is from RefSeq and is a predicted model, not a curated record.